UCAUCCUUAUCAUAUGGACCAAGGAUGCGAUCUCGAUAGUAGAAGGUGCUCUGACGUUGGUUUUCUUCCCUGUCAUGGUACUGAUUGCGUAUUGGGCCGACAUUGGUUUUCUGUGCUUCGCAAAGGACGCGAAGGCAACCCCAGAAGAAGAUGGU
Molecule: small RNA, 155 nt
Filed under: Tripos fusus
Lineage: Eukaryota; Dinophyceae; Gonyaulacales; Ceratiaceae
Description: partial Betaproteobacteria transfer-messenger RNA
Source: RNAcentral